Molecule: unclassified non-coding RNA, 286 nt
Filed under: Hevea brasiliensis (rubber tree)
Lineage: Eukaryota; Viridiplantae; Streptophyta; Magnoliopsida; Malpighiales; Euphorbiaceae
Source: RNAcentral
GUUGUACAUAAAAAAAAUUACAGUUGCGUCAUAGUUGCCCCGCUUGGAGAUUGUAAAGCAGCUCUACACGAGAUUUUCUGUUCCUGGAUUUGUGUACCAUUGAAAGAGUGUGCUAUGAGCAUGAGUGCAAUACGUCAUGAUGGCAGUAUUAACCCCUGAGCAGAAUUCUUUCUUAUGUCUUAAAUUAGGUUGGUCUAUCCAGUCUUAUUAUUAAAAGGAGUCAUGUGCUGCUUCCAUGAUCAAUCUACCAGGAAUUAUCUUCCAACACCAUAUCCAAAAGCUCCAA